This 685-nucleotide ribosomal RNA is filed under the name Enterobacter cloacae. RNAcentral describes it as "bacterial SSU rRNA". It matches the Rfam family "Bacterial small subunit ribosomal RNA", at positions 1 to 682 of the family's 1533-position model. The record is from RNAcentral. Lineage: Bacteria; Pseudomonadati; Pseudomonadota; Gammaproteobacteria; Enterobacterales; Enterobacteriaceae.
UUAGAGUUUGAUCAUGGCUCAGAUUGAACGCUGGCGGCAGGCCUAACACAUGCAAGUCGAACGGUAGCACAGAGAGCUUGCUCUCGGGUGACGAGUGGCGGACGGGUGAGUAAUGUCUGGGAAACUGCCUGAUGGAGGGGGAUAACUACUGGAAACGGUAGCUAAUACCGCAUAACGUCGCAAGACCAAAGAGGGGGACCUUCGGGCCUCUUGCCAUCAGAUGUGCCCAGAUGGGAUUAGCUAGUAGGUGGGGUAAUGGCUCACCUAGGCGACGAUCCCUAGCUGGUCUGAGAGGAUGACCAGCCACACUGGAACUGAGACACGGUCCAGACUCCUACGGGAGGCAGCAGUGGGGAAUAUUGCACAAUGGGCGCAAGCCUGAUGCAGCCAUGCCGCGUGUAUGAAGAAGGCCUUCGGGUUGUAAAGUACUUUCAGCGAGGAGGAAGGCGGUGAGGUUAAUAACCUCAUCGAUUGACGUUACUCGCAGAAGAAGCACCGGCUAACUCCGUGCCAGCAGCCGCGGUAAUACGGAGGGUGCAAGCGUUAAUCGGAAUUACUGGGCGUAAAGCGCACGCAGGCGGUCUGUCAAGUCGGAUGUGAAAUCCCCGGGCUCAACCUGGGAACUGCAUUCGAAACUGGCAGGCUAGAGUCUUGUAGAGGGGGGUAGAAUUCCAGGUGUAGCGGU